GACGAACGCUGGCGGCGUGCUUAACACAUGCAAGUCGAACGGAAAGGCCCUGCUUUUGUGGGGUGCUCGAGUGGCGAACGGGUGAGUAACACGUGAGUAACCCGCCCUUGACCUUGGGAUAACUUCAGGAAACUGGGGCUAAUACCGGAUAGGAGCUCCUGCUGCAUGGUGGGGGUUGGAAAGUUUCGGCGGUUGGGGAUGGACUCGCGGCUUAUCAGCUUGUUGGUGGGGUAGUGGCUUACCAAGGCUUUGACGGGUAGCCGGCCUGAGAGGGUGACCGGCCACAUUGGGACUGAGAUACGGCCCAGACUCCUACGGGAGGCAGCAGUGGGGAAUAUUGCACAAUGGGCGGAAGCCUGAUGCAGCAACGCCGCGUGCGGGAUGACGGCCUUCGGGUUGUAAACCGCUUUCGCCUGUGACGAAGCGUGAGUGACGGUAAUGGGUAAAGAAGCACCGGCUAACUACGUGCCAGCAGCCGCGGUGAUACGUAGGGUGCGAGCGUUGUCCGGAUUUAUUGGGCGUAAAGGGCUCGUAGGUGGUUGAUCGCGUCGGAAGUGUAAUCUUGGGGCUUAACCCUGAGCGUGCUUUCGAUACGGGUUGACUUGAGGAAGGUAGGGGAGAAUGGAAUUCCUGGUGGAGCGGUGGAAUGCGCAGAUAUCAGGAGGAACACCAGUGGCGAAGGCGGUUCUCUGGGCCUUUCCUGACGCUGAGGAGCGAAAGCGUGGGGAGCGAACAGGCUUAGAUACCCUGGUAGUCCACGCUGUAAACGGUGGGUACUAGGUGUGGGGUCCAUUCCACGGGUUCCGUGCCGUAGCUAACGCUUUAAGUACCCCGCCUGGGGAGUACGGCCGCAAGGCUAAAACUCAAAGGAAUUGACGGGGCCCCGCACAAGCGGCGGAGCAUGCGGAUUAAUUCGAUGCAACGCGUAGAACCUUACCUGGGUUUGACAUGGAUCGGGAGUGCUCAGAGAUGGGUGUGCCUCUUUUGGGGUCGGUUCACAGGUGGUGCAUGGCUGUCGUCAGCUCGUGUCGUGAGAUGUUGGGUUAAGUCCCGCAACGAGCGCAACCCUUGUUCACUGUUGCCAGCACGUUAUGGUGGGGACUCAGUGGAGACCGCCGGGGUCAACUCGGAGGAAGGUGGGGAUGACGUCAAGUCAUCAUGCCCCUUAUGUCCAGGGCUUCACGCAUGCUACAAUGGCUGGUACAGAGAGUGGCGAGCCUGUGAGGGUGAGCGAAUCUCGGAAAGCCGGUCUCAGUUCGGAUUGGGGUUUGCAACUCGACCUCAUGAAGUCGGAGUCGCUAGUAAUCGCAGAUCAGCAACGCUGCGGUGAAUACGUUCCCGGG
RNAcentral lists this ribosomal RNA (1343 nucleotides) under uncultured bacterium. RNAcentral describes it as "16S ribosomal RNA". It matches the Rfam family "Bacterial small subunit ribosomal RNA", at positions 28 to 1378 of the family's 1533-position model. The record is from RNAcentral.